RNAcentral lists this unclassified non-coding RNA (215 nucleotides) under Hevea brasiliensis (rubber tree). Lineage: Eukaryota; Viridiplantae; Streptophyta; Magnoliopsida; Malpighiales; Euphorbiaceae. The record is from RNAcentral.
GAGAGAAUAUAAAUUCAUAUGUACAGAUAGAGGAUAGGAUAAAAGAGCGAAGAGUGAUCCGAUAACUAAUGGGUGCAUAUUACCAGAAAAUGGAAAUAAUCAACGCGUCUCCUACAAGCUCUUGCCUCUCUCUCUUUCAUUGUGAAAUGCAAGAAACUGAUGGUCUAAGGGAUCCUUCGAGAUCCAUUUUCCCUCACAAUACCUUCAAUUUCUCA